Molecule: long non-coding RNA, 3288 nt
Filed under: Paramuricea clavata
Lineage: Eukaryota; Metazoa; Cnidaria; Anthozoa; Malacalcyonacea; Plexauridae
Source: RNAcentral
CUUGAUUGUAUGUAUGAGCUAGAUGGAUAAAAGUCAAUCCAAUGUAAUACUCAUUUUAUACAAACCUUCAGGCUCAAUGAAACCAAUACUAUUUAUGUCUAUUUAAUCAAUUGAUCAUAUGGUACUGUAAAAGCCUCUCCCAUGGGCGAUAUUGGUUCUUGUGGUAAGAAACAAUAUAUUUGAGCUGAUCUGCAUGCAACACAAGCCCUAACCCUCAAACACUAAUGUUCGUUGUGCAUACCACUUAGGACAAUGCAACCCAGCCUUGCUGUUAACCCAUUAAGCGCCAGCACUCUCCCCUUGAUGAGUAAAAUCGUCUGGCAUUAGACAGAGUUAAAUAAUCUGGCGUCAGACAGAGUAAAAUAAUAAAGUAGGGCGCAUCAGGGCGCAAUGGGUUAACUAGACACAUAGGUGGAUAGGCUAGUUAACCCAUUAAGCGCCAGUGCUCUCCCCUUGACGAGUAAAAUUAUCUGGCAUUAGAUGGAGUAAAAUAAUAAAGUAGGGCGCAAUGCGACUCAAUGGGUUAAAUAGUUAUAGGCUGGUAAUAAUAGUUAAAUAGUUAUCAGCUCAGUUAUGGCUGUAACUUAGAUGUGUAUUGAUUGCUGAGCUAAAUUAAAAUGUAUACAGGCUAUUUAACAACAUACUGUACUAGUGAAAUUUCCAUUUCAUCUUUUGCACAUUCACAUAGCAUGUUCAAAAAGUUAUGCAUAAUUUACAUUAAUUACAAAUGUUGCGGUAAGACUUGCAGUACCAACUGAGCAAACACGAAAUUCAACCCAAAUGCCAAAAUGAAUUUCUUGGUGGUUACCCAUUGGAGAGUCAUGAAUUUCAAGUGCUUAGUUAAAGAAAAAAACCCAGAUUUGCUGAGUCAAAUGAAUAUCGUAAUGAAGAAUCUCGUAACACAGACACUGUUACGGAUAAAGAAUAUUUCUGCUUACAAUCGGUCUUAAGCAUCUGUGAUGGGCCUAUACAUGGGGGCUUAUAUAUGGAUGACAUUUGAUGUUAUAGUAAUAAUAUUUAUUGUACCUGUACCUAUAUACUGUACUGUGAACGAAAAGAAAUAUAAAAUACAGUAUAUAACACAUAAUAAAACAAGUUGGUUAACAUGUUAUGAUAUAUGUACUAUUAGUAAUGUAAUUAUCGUCACUCGUCUGAGCUGUUGUAAUCCCUGUCACUGCCUUAAUAAAUACCUGUCCAAUAAUAAGGCAGGUGGCUUAUGCAUGGGGGGCUUAUAUAUUUGGGUUAUAUAUAGACUGGCAUAUGCACUAGUAAAUAUGGUGGACUUAUACACAGGGGGUUAUAUUGGGGGGAGGCUUUAAUUCGGAGGUUUACAGUGUGACAAAAAAGCAACCGGGGGUUUUAUUUAUGAGACAAUGAUUGGCUUAAUAUCCCAAUGGAUACUACUGUAAGCUUAUGACGUCCAAUAGUCCAAAUUUAAAGCAUGAUAUCCGGUGGUUAUGACUGCAAAUGAAUUCUUGUGUAUAACAACAUACUGUAGUAGGAGGAAGAAUUGUGUUGACUGGAAACUUUCAGUAGAGUGACACUCUUAAAAUGAUACAGAACAUAUACGAUAGUCCGCUUUGUCGCUUUAAUUUUAGAAUUUUAGGAUAUGUCACGUGAAAACAGUAGUAAUUUUGGUACUUUGGCUAAGUUUUUUAGAUCAUGACUUGAUUAAUUAUUGUGCAGGGGUGACAAAUCAGCUUAAAUACAUGUAUCUUGUUACCUAUAAGUGGUGCGCAUGUUAAAAAGGUUAGGAAGUUAGAAUGAGGGUGUUAAGUAAGCCUGUGGGCAUGAAUUUACAAAAUUGUACAGUAAUUAUCAUUUAUAGACCCAGAGCGAGGGGGAUUCGGCGGAUUAUUACCCGAAGGGGGUUAUAUUGGGGGGAGGCUUUAAUUCGGAGGUUUACAGUGUGGCAAAAAAGCAAUAUGAAGGUAAUAUUUCGACGAAUCCCGCGUGCGGAGGGUCUAUAAAUGAUAUAUUAUACCGAAAGUUAAAGAACCCACUAAGUUCAGAAUAAACUUUAAAAUUUGCUGAAUAUUAACAAAGCGAAUACAAUUUUUAAUUUCUUAUGUAUAUCUGGGUUUUUGACGUUUUCUCUUUAAAAUAUUUGAGCAUGUAUCCUUUGGAUCAUUGAAGGUAACAUAUAUAUAUAUGUCGUGAAAAUCUUUGGUUAAAUCAAUAAAUCUUCUGUACGAAAUUACAAACAACAGUUCGCAAACGCCAUAUUGUUUCAGAACGUGUUGUCCACGCGUCACGCGUGAGAUACUAUAAUAUCCCACGGUGCAUCGUGGGAUAUUAUAGUAUCUCACGCUGCAUUGCGAAAUCAUGAAUUUGAGUGAAAUACCGUAAAAAUCACAUUGUUACGUGGUACAAAUGAUGUUUUUUCAUUGGACAAUUUGAAUUUGAGGUAUAAUAUUAAUAAAAAUACUGGUAACUGCUGGACUGUGGAAAGUUGUUAUUCAAUAAUAAUAAUACCAGACCGUAGUACCUUUACUCCCAGAAGAGAGUAAGGACUGGGAGUGAAAGAGACUUUUACUCCCAGUCGCAAACUACGAGUAGGAAUGGGUUUAACUUUAACUCAAUAAUAAAAUUUAAUGUUGGACAGCAGGACUGCAAACAAGUUAAAAACGUAUGAAGUGCGCAUUUGUAGGUAGGCAGCUGUUCCAACGGUCAUGCAUGUUUGAAAAACAAGCAUUUCAGAUGGCUAUAGUGCAUUUUACUGUAAUAUAGACAGCCAUAAAUGCUCUAUGCAAAUAUUUUCUUUGAUUUUCUUUAAAACUUUGUGAUAAUGCCGUGUAUGCUUCAAUACAUUAUAUAGCUAAAAACACAAGCACUAUUUUUUAACACAAUGCCGGAUUUUUACUCCGCAUUUGGAGACAAAAAGAUAUUCUAUCAAAUUUAGUGCUUAUUUUAUACUAAACUACUGUACAUUCCAUUGCCCGAACAAUUAUAUAACUAUCCAAGUUUCAAUACAGUAUUUGAAAUGAUCGGGGGAUGAGGAGCUUAAAAAUUUUACAUUGGUCAUUGUCAUGGUUGAAUUUUAAAAAAUUCUGCAUAAUCACAUAUACGUUUGUUGUCCCAGAUUAAUUUGCAGGGCUUUCAGCUCUGCGAUUCCGGUGCAGCGCUCUAACCAACUGAGCUGCAGAGGCCAGUUGUCGAGCUUUAACCACAAGUUUAUGUAUAUAUACUAGGGUAUUGCCAUGCAUAUGUUAUGGUAAAUAUCAAGAUUUUGUUGGCAUCUCACUCGACUUAACAAUUAGUCGCCGAAGGCUAGGUGAUUAGAAUACA